GACGAACGCUGGCGGCGUGCUUAACACAUGCAAGUCGAACGGAAAGGCCCUGCUUUUGUUGGGUGCCCGAGUGGCGAAAGGGGGAGGAAAACGUGAGUAAACUGCCCCUGACUUUGGGAUAACGUCAGGAAAAUGGGGCUAAUACCGGAUAGGAGCUCCUGCUGCAUGGGGGGGGGGGGAAAGUGUCGGCGGUUGGGGAUGGACUCGCGGCUUAUCAGCUUGUGGGUGGGGUAGUGGCUUACCAAGGCUUUGACGGGUAGCCGGCCUGGGAGGGUGACCGGCCACAUUGGGACUGAGAUACGGCCCAAACUCCUACGGGAGGCAGCAGUGGGGAAUAUUCCACAAUGGGCGGAAGCCUGAUGCAGCAACGCCGCGUGCGGGAUGACGGCCUUCGGGUUGUAAACCGCUUUCGCCUGUGACGAAGCGUGAGUGACGGUAAUGGGUAAAGAAGCACCGGCUAACUACGUG
Molecule: ribosomal RNA, 468 nt
Filed under: uncultured bacterium
Lineage: Bacteria
Description: partial 16S ribosomal RNA
Rfam family: Bacterial small subunit ribosomal RNA
Source: RNAcentral